AGCAGUCGCCGCGGUAAUACGAAGGGUGCAAGCGCUAAUCGGAAUUACUAGGCGUAAAGCGUGCGUAGGCGGUGAGUUAAGUCUGCUGUGAAAUCCCCGGGCUCAACCUGGGAAUGGCAGUGGAUACUGGCUCGCUAGAGUGUGUCAGAGGAUGGUGGAAUUCCCGGUGUAGCGGUGAAAUGCGUAGAGAUCGGGAGGAACAUCAGUGGCGAAGGCGGCCAUCUGGGACAACACUGACGCUGAGGCACGAAAGCGUGGGGAGCAAACAGGAUUAGAUACCCGCGUAGUCCCUGUCUCUUAUAC
This 303-nucleotide ribosomal RNA is filed under the name uncultured bacterium. RNAcentral's name for it is "partial 16S ribosomal RNA". It matches the Rfam family "Bacterial small subunit ribosomal RNA", at positions 507 to 807 of the family's 1533-position model. The record is from RNAcentral.